GCUUUCGUGGUGUAGUGGUUAUCACAUAUGCUUUACACUCAUUGGACGCAUCAGGUCCCCGGUUCGAACCCGGGCGAAAGCA
RNAcentral lists this transfer RNA (82 nucleotides) under Microbotryum lychnidis-dioicae p1A1 Lamole. RNAcentral's name for it is "tRNA-Val for anticodon UAC". It matches the Rfam family "tRNA". From Rfam's summary of the family: Transfer RNA (tRNA) molecules are approximately 80 nucleotides in length. Their secondary structure includes four short double-helical elements and three loops (D, anti-codon, and T loops). The record is from Rfam by way of RNAcentral. Lineage: Eukaryota; Fungi; Basidiomycota; Microbotryomycetes; Microbotryales; Microbotryaceae.